CGGACGUAGCUCAGUUGGUAGAGCAUCAGCUUCCCAAGCUGAGUCAGCACGGGUGAACCCUUCCGUCGA
This 69-nucleotide transfer RNA is filed under the name Actinomycetes bacterium. Its description in RNAcentral is "Actinobacteria bacterium tRNA-Gly". The record is from RNAcentral. Lineage: Bacteria; Bacillati; Actinomycetota; Actinomycetes.